This is a non-coding RNA of Castor canadensis (American beaver), 1002 nucleotides long. NCBI's taxonomy places the organism in Eukaryota, Metazoa, Chordata, Mammalia, Rodentia, Castoridae. The record is from RefSeq and is a predicted model, not a curated record.
CAGGGCUGAGUGAGCAGGGCUCCAGGCUGGCAUGCUUUCACUGCUGCUUACCACCACUGAUCUUGAGAUGUCAUUCAGGUUUUUCCAUUUUUCUUGUGUACAGAGGGGAGCAGCAGUAACCCACCUGUUACUUAUGAGGAACUUUCUGCAAAUAUAUGACAUCAUGGAAAUCUACCUGGCUUGCUCUGGAAGUAGUUCAGUGACAACAUGUAAAAAUCAGUCUGGACUAACAAAUAUUCAGGCAACUUCUGACCUAUACACAUCUGCAUCAGAAUUUCUUGGGUCAUGGUUUUCCAGUGUUCCAGCUUGUCUGUGAUAAGAAAAUGUUCCUUGUCUUUUUGGCUGGUUUGGCUCUGUUUCACCCUGACAGUUGGUAGGAAGAAAAUUAACCUGCCCAUCAGUUGAUGGAGCCAUCUGUUGGAGGAUUUGACAUCCUGUCCACCACAUAAGAAAGGAAUCAUAACUGUCCCCUCCAGGGAUUUUAGUGCCCUUCAACUGAAAGGUGCCCAUCAACUGAAAGGAUAAGGCUGCAUCUUGUACACCAUAGGAUGCCAAUAGCGCCCCCUCCAGUUACGACAACUAAAUGUCUCCAGACCUUGUCAAAUGUCCCAUGGGCAAAAAUCAAUUGGAAACCACUGCCCUAAGUGAUGCAACGGUAAGAGCAGCAGAGCUCCAACCAAGGUUUGACCACUGCAAAGUCUCUGCCAGCCUGCCUCCCAAGAGAAGACACUAAGCCACCUUGCAUGCUUCUUCUGUAGGCCAAGGGCCAAGCAGUCCUGGUAGGGCCCUCAGUACUCCGUCUCAGUUUGUCAGCAUUGCAGAAAGGAUUGGGAGAUUCUGGCAAAUGAUAAAGUGAGGUAAAGUGUAUCAGGUGCCAGCAUGUGGUGUUAAGUAUUAGGGUGUGUUUGAUAAAUGGGAAAAUUGUGUCUCUCCAGGAUUGAAAUGUUUAGUUAUUUUGACUGGUAGUGACAGUGGUCUUUUGCGAGCCACUUGAUAAAGAAA